GAUGAAGAACGCAGCGAAAUGCGAUACGUAAUGUGAAUUGCAAAUUCAGUGAAUCAUCGAGUCUUUGAACGCACAUUGCGCCCCCUGGUAUUCCGGGGGGCAUGCCUGUCCGAGCGUCAUUGCUGCCCUCAAGCACGGCUUGUGUGCUGGGCCCCGUCCUCCGAUCCCGGGGGACGGGCCCGAAAGGCAGCGGCGGCACCGCGUCCGGUCCUCGAGCGUAUGGGGCUUUGUCACCCGCUCUGUAGGCCCGGCCGGCGCUUGCCGAUCAACCCAAAUUUUUUAUCCAGGUUGACCUCGGAUCAGGUAGGGAUACCCGCUGAACUUAAGCAUAUCAAUAAGCGGAGGA
RNAcentral lists this unclassified non-coding RNA (346 nucleotides) under soil metagenome. RNAcentral describes it as "partial contains 5.8S ribosomal RNA, internal transcribed spacer 2, and large subunit ribosomal RNA". The stretch from base 1 to 119 matches the Rfam family "5.8S ribosomal RNA", at positions 35 to 154 of the family's 154-position model. The record is from RNAcentral.